Non-coding RNA from Benincasa hispida (wax gourd), 539 nucleotides. The record is from RefSeq and is a predicted model, not a curated record. Lineage: Eukaryota; Viridiplantae; Streptophyta; Magnoliopsida; Cucurbitales; Cucurbitaceae.
UUCAAGCAACCACUGAUUUCUCGUCGGAAUUGGUAUUUUGAAUUGAGGUUGGAAGUUUUAAGCUACUGUCCAGCUAAUUUAACAGGAAAAGGUAAAGGCACACUGGUGAAUGACAGAUAGAAUUCAUGAUCGAGCCAUUAGGACAAUUCAUAUGCUUCCGCUCAAGUUUCUAGGAUUUUAUGUUUUAAAAUUUCUAGUCUUAAGAUUUGAAUUCGAAGUUUUGGUAUUUGUGCUUUAGACUUUUAAAAAUAUUUUCUAGUUUUGUUUUAUUGUUUUAAGGGUACCCUGCCAAAUGAAUUUCGAUUAUUUAGUUUUAAUAAAGUUUAUUAUUUUAUGCAAUAUUUUUUUGUUUUACUAAGCCAUAAAAAAAAGAUGUCAAUUUGAAUUGCAUGCAUGUAUGUCUAUAGUAACAACCUAGUUUAAGUUCUAGGGAGUCGGGUCGUUACAUAUUAUCAUGUAAACUUGUGGCCAAGUUUGUGUUAUUUCAUUUUGUUUCAAUGAUAGAGUUGGAAAUGUGUAUCUUCACUUGUAAUUUUAGU